AUGGAUGAACUACAAAAUGAUCAA
This 24-nucleotide non-coding RNA is filed under the name Arabidopsis thaliana (thale cress). The record is from RNAcentral. Lineage: Eukaryota; Viridiplantae; Streptophyta; Magnoliopsida; Brassicales; Brassicaceae.